Molecule: transfer RNA, 83 nt
Filed under: Streptococcus salivarius
Lineage: Bacteria; Bacillati; Bacillota; Bacilli; Lactobacillales; Streptococcaceae
Description: tRNA-Tyr
Rfam family: tRNA
About the family: Transfer RNA (tRNA) molecules are approximately 80 nucleotides in length. Their secondary structure includes four short double-helical elements and three loops (D, anti-codon, and T loops).
Source: RNAcentral
UGGAAGGGUAGCGAAGAGGCUAAACGCGGCGGACUGUAAAUCCGCUCCUUCGGGUUCGGGGGUUCGAAUCCCUCCCCUCCCAU